This 17-nucleotide small RNA is filed under the name Arabidopsis thaliana (thale cress). RNAcentral's name for it is "ATSL113900". Lineage: Eukaryota; Viridiplantae; Streptophyta; Magnoliopsida; Brassicales; Brassicaceae. The record is from RNAcentral.
UAUUUCAACACUUUGAC